This 598-nucleotide long non-coding RNA is filed under the name Fukomys damarensis (Damara mole-rat). RNAcentral's name for it is "lncRNA (ENSFDAG00000030693.1)". Lineage: Eukaryota; Metazoa; Chordata; Mammalia; Rodentia; Bathyergidae. The record is from RNAcentral.
GGCUGGACUUUUGGGUGGAACAAAGGGCAGAGAAGGGUGGGGAGACCCCUAAUGCUUCUCAAGCUCUGCCUACAGGGUCCGGCUCCAGGUCCUGUAGCAUUGCCAGCUGGAUGAAAUGCACUGAGAGCUGCCUUCCAUCUCCCUGGGUCUCAUUUCACAAUGGAGGACUGGCCCAGAGUCUCAUCCCAGGUGCUGCUCCGGGAGAUUCAGGCAGUGACAGUCAUGCUCUCUAACGUCAUCCUGGACAUCCUGGUGACUCACUGUGCAGUCACCACCUAGGGACCAAACUACAUCGAAACCUGCCUGUCCUUGUCAGUUUUCCAAGUCCCCUACAUACCGGGAGGAAGUCUGUCACAGGAGUUCUUACACUGUCUCCUAAAAGGAUCAAGCUAGGUGUGGCGGUGCAUGCUUAUGAUCCCCAUACUAAGGAAGCUGAGGCAGAAGGAUCGGGAGUUCCAGGCCAUUCCGAACAAUUCAGCAGAUUCAAGGCUAACCUGGACUACAGAAUGAGACUGUGUCCAAAAAUUCAGUCAAUAAUCAAUCCACCAAAACAAAAGUGAUUCAUAGGUUUUCUUUCUCUGAUACAUUUGCUCACCAC